This 531-nucleotide ribosomal RNA is filed under the name Triticum aestivum (bread wheat). Its description in RNAcentral is "partial small subunit ribosomal RNA". The record is from RNAcentral. Lineage: Eukaryota; Viridiplantae; Streptophyta; Magnoliopsida; Poales; Poaceae.
AUGGCUUCUGGUGCUCAGAUGAAGAUGGUUGCCGUCGGCAUGAUGCUGGCCAUCAUGUUCAUCGCUGCAGCUAAUGCAGAACCAGCGCCUGCAGAAACUUGCAUCGACAAGACCGAAAAAGUUGGUCUUGCCACUGACUGCAUCUGCUCCAAGAACUGUGCUUGUGCAGGAAAGUGCAUCUUAGAAGGCGGCGAGGGUGGCGAAAUCCAGAAGUGCUUUGUCGAAUGCGUGCUGAAAAAUGACUGCAACUGCAAUGCUAAGCACCACAUGAGGCAGCGUGGCGCCCACUCCAGCAGCAGCGGCCGGAGGGUGUGGAGCACGUUCGGCAAGAUCGGGGAGGCCCUUUGGCUAACCACCAAGGGUCUCGGUGAGGCGGAGAUCGAGUUCCACGAGGCGAAGGAGGCGUUCGAAGCAAGAGAAGAAGGCGCCGCCGCAUGGCUCGAGGCGGCCAAAGAGAGCUACGACCUCGCCUACACUUUCGACCGCUCUGCGACUGACUACAACCUCAACGUCAAGCCUAGACUAGUUUAG